CUGGCCCUGAAUCAAGCUGAUGCUGUUGGUUUCAAGCAGAAGCCUAAAGAGAUGUCUUUCUAUGGUCUGUUGGCCAUUUCAGAACUUGGGCAGUGAAAUGGUCAAUUCAUUAGAAAGCAACAGCU
RNAcentral lists this small nucleolar RNA (125 nucleotides) under Cavia aperea (Brazilian guinea pig). Lineage: Eukaryota; Metazoa; Chordata; Mammalia; Rodentia; Caviidae. The record is from RNAcentral.